RNAcentral lists this ribosomal RNA (207 nucleotides) under Triticum aestivum (bread wheat). RNAcentral's name for it is "partial small subunit ribosomal RNA". The record is from RNAcentral. Lineage: Eukaryota; Viridiplantae; Streptophyta; Magnoliopsida; Poales; Poaceae.
UAUGUUCGUCGCAGAGUCAUUUUUACUAAAGAUAACCUUAUUAAGAGAAAUUGGCAUGGAAGUCCGCAAUGUGUCUUUUGUCACCAUGAUGAGACAAUAAAACAUUUACUCUUCCAGUGCAAAUUGGCUUGUUCUAUAUGGCCAGUCAUCCAAAUAGCUUUUGGCUUGUAUCCUUCCUAUAGUGUUGUUAAUGUAUUUGGCAACUAG